Molecule: small RNA, 434 nt
Filed under: Pan troglodytes (chimpanzee)
Lineage: Eukaryota; Metazoa; Chordata; Mammalia; Primates; Hominidae
Description: processed transcript
Source: RNAcentral
AGUUGGGGAAGGCUUUUGGGAGAAGGCGACAUUUCAGCAGAGACCUGAAAGGAGAAACUGGAAACAGUUUAAUGUGACUACUGCGAAAGACACGACCGCUUCAGAUGGGCAGUGAAAAGGACGAUGGAAAGGCCAGGACACCACGGAAGUUCUGAAGGGGUAGUGGGAACCGCUACUCACUAAACAUACAUUUCCUGAAAGCAGAAGAGAUUCAAUUGCUGUUAUUCACAUGAUUACUAUCGUGCCAGGAGGGAGUGUCAGGGAAGUUAACAAAACAGGCCAGGUGUGGUGGCUCACAGCUGUAAUCCCGGCACUUUGGGAGGCCGAGGUGGGCUGAUUGCUUGAGGUCAGCAGUUUGAGACAAACCUGAGCAACAUGGGUUUGCAGAAUACAGAGCUAACAGGAUUACAUGGGGCUUAGGGGGUCAUGCUGCC